Molecule: non-coding RNA, 7757 nt
Organism: Chrysemys picta bellii (western painted turtle)
Lineage: Eukaryota; Metazoa; Chordata; Testudines; Emydidae
Source: RefSeq, a predicted model, not a curated record
AAGGGUGGGGUGGGGCUGAAUAAAGGAGCGGAGGCUGUAGGAACUAGGGCUACCACCCACCACCGGCUUUGGAGCAAGAAGAGAUUGACACCCUCCCGUGCUAGAGCAAAGGGAGCAUUUUCAAGGCGUGUCUUGUUUCAUUUUUUGCAAGCUGAUGGCACGCACGGGUUGCAGGGUGUCAAGCUGAUCAGCAUUCAAGUGGCGAUGAGUGAGCAAAGUGAAGUGAGAGAGGCGCGUGCAACUGGCAGUGGAAGCUGAGAGGAUGGUGCAUGGGGAAAGAGAGAGAGAGGGAGAGAGAUGGGAAGAAGCUGUUUGUGUUGCCUUGGGAUUUUUCCACUUUGAAACCUACCAGGACCAGUUGCUACGAAGCAUGAAGCAGGCGGUGAUGGUUGUGAUGAUGAGGAAAGGCUGUUUCUAAAUGACUGGGCUGCAGCUCCCUCAGAAUACAAGCAACAAAUGGCAGCGGGCUGUGGCCGGGCUGCAGCAGCAGCAGCUGCAACUCCCAGGUAUAUUUUUAAGAAGAAUACGGACCAUGAGGAAGUCCACCUAUUAGUCCAUUUUUGCUAAUUCUGCUGAAGAAAAUGAAGCUACGCUUUGGCUGUACAGAAUCUUUUACCACCACUGUUGGGUAAAUGAGAAAUGGUCGUGUGAUUAUGCUGACAUCCCAGCAUGCAUUUGGUAGACCUGUGGUUAACUCGUUCCCUCUCCAUGUGUCUGCUCUUACAAAGUUUUGUCCUCAUGAUACUGUGCUUUCAUUCUGCCAGUAUGUGCCCAAAAGGCUGCCUUUGUUCUCAUUCUGGAGGUUUAAAUGUCAGUUGUAGCAAUGCAAAUCUCAAGGAAAUACCCAGAGAUCUUCCUCCUGAAACAGUCUUACUUUAUUUGGACUCCAAUCAGAUAACAUCCAUCCCAAAUGAAAUUUUUAAGGACUUGCAUCAACUGAGAGUCCUCAAUUUAUCCAAAAAUGGUAUUGAAUUUAUAGAUGAACAUGCCUUUAAAGGAGUGGCAGAAACCUUGCAGACUUUGGACUUGUCUGACAACCGGAUUCAAAGUGUGCACAAAAAUGCUUUCAAUAACUUAAAAGCCAGAGCCAGAAUUGCAAACAAUCCUUGGCACUGUGACUGUACUCUGCAGCAGGUCCUGAGGAGCAUGGCGUCCAACCAUGAAACAGCCAACAACGUCAUCUGCAAGACUUCUGUGUUAGAUGAACAUGCUGGGAGACCAUUCCUCAAUGCUGCCAAUGAUGCAGAUCUUUGUAACCUUCCUAAAAAGACUACUGAUUAUGCCAUGCUAGUCACCAUGUUUGGCUGGUUCACCAUGGUGAUAUCCUAUGUAGUUUAUUAUGUGCGGCAAAAUCAAGAGGAUGCAAGAAGGCACCUUGAGUACUUAAAAUCCCUGCCAAGCAGGCAAAAGAAACCAGAAGAAGCUGAUGACAUUAGCACUGUGGUAUAGUAUCCUGAAUACAACAGACUUUGAGAUGGCAAUUAGAUUUGGAUGGCACUAAAACCAGAGGUUUACUUCUAACAUUCAUUGUAAACAUUUAAGACUUUUUUUUUCCAGUUUAACUGAAUUAUGCCACUGUUGAUCUUUCUAACAAAGGUUUUUGUUUGGGUGGUAUACGUUAAUUGUUUCUCUGGUGGUAUUCUAAAGCAAGUAAACUAAUAUGUAAACAUUAGUUAGACCCAUUUAAUAACAAAAUUUAUUUUUUUAAUUUAAAACCAAAUAAAAGCUUAACUUUGAACCAUGUUAAACAGAGUAAUUUAUUGAUCAGAAAUCUGUCUAGUGACUAAACCUGUUUGGUUUGUCAAUAUUAAUGAGAUUAAAAAUAGUAGUAAUACCAUGGGUCAUAACACUCAUAAAAUCCUGGGAACUCCAGUUCACAGCCAGGGGCUGCUCUUGAUUUACUCGGAGGAAAUCAAAUGAAGAGCUGAUAAAUAGUAGCCCUUUUGUUGUUUGCCUUUCAAAAGGAAAGGGGAGUGGAGGUUGGGAGAGCAGGUAGGCAGUAAGUUCCCGUGGGCUUAAGAAACGGAAGAUAUGAUGGAGCUCUGAAUAGCACUUCAACUGAGCUAAGGAGCAGCAGCCAUGAGGAAGCCCGUACCUCAGGAUGCCACAGCCAAUUGGACAGAUCUGUGUUGGAUUGAAGCCCAAAGAAGAGGACCCAGAAUGCAGUACAAACAGAAGUCUAUGAAAGGACAUAUGCAACCUAGCCUGAAGAUUUGGAGAAGCGUUUCCUACUAGCAGACCUGAUGGAGCUGCUCCUAGCGAACAUUUGACAGUGGUUCCUAACUUUUUUUUUUUUUAACUGCACUGGUUUACCAGAUUAAGCCCUCAGCUCUUCUAUCCUCUCAUUCAAUUGUGUGUGCUCUAACAAUGCAAUUUAUCUUACGAUCAUGACCUUGGGAACCAAGCAGCCUCAAACGUGGGUUAGUAUGUGUCCAAAUGAAGAGGAGGGGAUCCAGGAUAGGGGUGUGUCAGGGAGGGAAAGCUGGGUAUACUAAUUACAAAAGCCUGAAACUCCUGUAGUGGUUUAAGCGGUUCUAGAUAUUCCAAUCUAAAUCUGUUUUUCAUGCUCUUUAAUUAAUGGUGUAAUGCUGAAAUGUGUUCUGUAGGUGGAAGUGAUGGCACAGAAAUGAAGCCAUUACUAACAUUCCUGGAACACACAGGUACUUAGUUGCUAAGUUAAGUUUUGCAUAUCGUGCCUCUGCUUCAGCCUGCCAAGCUAUUCCAUCCGCACUAUGUAAUAGCUUCAGCUACCAAAAGACAAGCAGAUUUGCCACAAUUGCCUGUUCUACAUAGGGGUAAUCUGUCUCUAAAACCAAACCCAUUAUUCUUACUUUGGGGACUAAAUCAUCCUUUGGAUCACUGGCAGAUUUGUUUCCUUCAUGGCAACAGGGUCCUUCUAAACCACUCAAAUUUAAAUCUGUCAAAUUUUGUGCAGCUCCAUGUACAACAUUUCCCAUCAGUGGAAAAUAGUCACUUAUUUUUCCAUCACCAUGUCCCCCAAGCAGUUGGACAGGAUGGGGGCUAGCAGAAGUUUGUAACUCAUACUUCACUAGAGGGCAAUGGACGGCUGGGCAGAAGGAGGGGCAGCUUGUAGGAGCCAGGGUUGACUGGAGAAGUCAGUCAGAAUCAAGAUAUUGGAGGGAAUCUAGGCAGCCCAUCGGGAAGGUAAGCUAGGAGCUUUAUGGGUUGAGAGAGAGGAGAAGGGGCAGGAGAGCCUGAGGACAUAACCAGUGUCAUUGGAUCGGCUGAGCAAGGCCAGGAGUAAUCUCUGCCACCCCACCCAUCCCCUUCUGUAGCAGUCCCCCUUCAGCACUAUUUCACACCCCCCCCCAAUCUGUUCCUCACCCAUGAUAAAGAGUGACUUUUGCAGCAUGCUGUUGGAUCCAGAAGGAGCAUUGAGACUAGAGGAGAACCUGCACUAGUAUAUCCUAGAAAGGCUUUGCUGGUGCAGUUGUACCAGCAACAUCACCUACUAGAGACACAGUAUAUAUGGGCAAAGGGAGUUCUUUUGCUGGUAUAGUUAAAACUGUAUGACAUCAGCUGUGCUGCCAAAAGAACUCUCUUGCUAGGAUAAGCUGUGCUGGGGGGGGGGGAGGUGGGGGUUGAGAGAACAGGGUUUCCAACAUCACUGUGUCAUUUAGGGGCAUGGUUUUCACAUGCCGAACUUGCCAUAGCAAUGCUGGGAAAACUUUGUCAUGUACACAUGGCCACAGUCUGCCUGCAAGAGUUCAGAUGUCCAGCAAUCCAGUGCAGUGGUCGGGAGUAGUGAUUACAAGGAAGUCACUGCAGCAUGUGUGAGGUUACAGCACAGCUGUGGGAAUGCAGGAGGAGAACAUCAUACCCAAUCCAGAACACAUGACAUCUCAGAAUAAUGAAAAACAAUUUUACCUACCACAAGCCCUAGGGCACCUGACAGUUUACUUAACUCAAUUCCUAGACUGCCUCAAUGCCUUGCACUUGAAGUUAGAGAGCCUUGUUUUCUCCAUUAGCCAAGGCACCUCAGCAGAGCUGCUCAGCUGGCAGGGAGGCUUUCAACACCGCUAACAAGACAGACCCACAAGCUCAUUGGCCUGUAUAUACCUCAGAGAGUGUUUCUCCUGUGAGCCCCCUCCAUCCAUGUAUAUGGGUGAUUUGUGCCUUUCUUUCAGCAGAUCAGCUCCAACCCCUCCCCCUAGCACUGAGGCAGUGCUGGUUUCUCUGAACAGCUUCGCCUAGGUGGUGAUUAGGCCAGGGCUCCAUUGAACAGCUUCGCCUAGGUGGUGAUUAGGCCAGGGCUCCAUUGAACAGCUUCGCCUAGGUGGUGAUUAGGCCAGGGCUCCAUUGAACAGCUUCGCCUAGGUGGUGAUUAGGCCAGGGCUCCAUUGAACAGCUUCACCUAGGUGGUGAUUAGGCCAGGGCUCCAUUGACCAGCAUCGCAACUCUGAGGCUUCUUCAAGCCUGAAGGCUGACACUCCAGCAAAUGACACUUCAGCUGCUGCUCUCUUUCCCACCCAACUGUUAGGCUAGUUCUCUGAGGAGCAAGAUGAUGAAUCCAAGGCCUCUGCACUUCAAGGCCAGUAAUACAGUAAAUGCCUCAGCAGCUCUCCUGCCUCCGACUUGGCAGGGAAGGUAAAGUUCUUGCUUAGUGCUUAGACAAAGCAGGAGUUACUCCAAAGGCCACAGCUAAUCAGCUGCCUCACAUCACUACUUCUGCAGCAGUCUCUUCCCUCACUGACCUUCGGAGAAGUGAUAUUUUUCUGCAUUGUUUUAAAAGCUCUGGCUCAGAAGAAUAAUGUUCACGCUCCAGUGUUCCAGCAGCAGAGUGUUAAACUGGCUGUCUGUGUUUUUAGAAACACGGGGUAGAUGUGUAGGGAAGGGGGUGGGAGCUGUGCUAAUGAAGACAUCAUUUCCUGCUUCUCCCUUUGCUUUCCCUUCUCUUAAAUGUCCAGCUGCAAUGAGACCAAGCUGCUCAUUCUGCACUGUCCUCCUGGAUAUGUUCCAGAAAAAAGGGCCAGAUUGUCAAGUAGUGUAGAUCAUUGCUGCUCCAAUAGAACUAUACCAAUUUACAGCAGCUGAGAAUCUGACCCAGGUUUGAUUUUUAGCUUGAUUACACGUCCUAAAGAUGGUAGGAUUAGUGUACUGCAUCUAGAUAGAAGGCUCUAGCACCCUCUGACUGAGUUCUACAAGCAAAAAAUGACCAUAGCUAUUGGGAGAAACAUUUAGCCCAGGUGAUUAGUAUUUAUUAUUUGUAUUUCAGCAAUGCCUAGAAGCCUCUACCAGGGAAAAGUAAUUGCCCCAGGAAUUCAGCUUAGCAACAACCUCUCACUACAUAAAUUUUAAGAAAGUAAACAUAUUAUAGAAAAUUAAAAUGGAAAGGUUGGUACUUGUUCCAGUCCAGUUCACUCCCCCUAAGUCUCAGCCUGGGGUUACUGUCACCCAUAUUUGCCAGUCCUAUGACAUUUUAGUGCUUCUCCUCAUUCCUUUAAUAUUUCUGCCUUGGCCAAGGAGGACUGGUGAGGCUACAACUUCACAUUGUUCAGAAAAGGCAUCAGGUAAACUAUAAUAUUUCUGGGGAAUUUGGAAAAUUCACACCUAGGGCCUUAAGAUCUGACCCUUGGGUAAGGGUAAGUACACAACUCUGAUUAGUCAGUGAGAGUCAAGGGAGAUCAGCACUAGGCCUGCUGUAAUUUUUAGUGAAUCCAUGUUUUCUUGUCCUCUCACAGAGAUCAAGUGCUUCUCUCAUCUCAUGCAUAGUCUCUGGGUGCUUGUCUUCACUAGACUCUUGUACCUAGAGUUAACUGCCAGCUAACUUGAGCUAGCUAACAUGUGUGUCUUUACCCUAGGGAAGAAACCAACCUUUGUAAUCUGGAUCAAGCUUGUGGGGAAUGUCCAUACUAGCUUUUAUAAAUGUGUUAGCUACCUCAAGUUAGCUGGCAAUCAGUUAACGCUAGAUACAACAGUCUAUCGAAAACAUACCCUCACUGUCAGUCGUUGCAUUUCUUAGGGUGUCAGGACACUUGGCUUAGCAAGAUUUCAUCAUAGACUCUUUCAUAAGCUCUCUUGGGUUUUGUCUUCUCUCUCAAAAAAGAUGCAUUUUUAACUGGUUUUAACCACAGGAAAACUAACACACCAUUAGCUAUCCUGCUGCAAAAUCCUAGUGGAGACAAGGCACGUGUCGUUUUUACUGUGAGGUAGGUAGGCAAGGUCAGUACUGUCCAUGCUUGACCUUGCCUAGUCUUCUGACAGUAAAAAUACAGGCCCAGAUCCUCAGCAUUAUUUAGACAGCUAACUCCCAUUGGUUUCACCCCUUUUUUUGCAAUGAUGACAUAGCCUGUGUCAGAUAUAGUGGCUAGCCAUGCUUGAGAUGCUUAUUGUCAAGGAGAUAAAUGUCUCUCUCAAGUGGUUGUUACAGGAGUCCCUGAAAAUAUAAUGGAGGACAGACCAGAAAUAAUUAUAAAACAGUCUCUUCCAGGAACCUGUCACUCUUGAACUUAAAUAUCAUGGAUGUGAAGUCUUGUUGCUACCAAAUAUGACAUCAACAAAUGUGAAAUUCCUGGUAAAAUGAGGGACAAAGCACAUUCAAAAAGAGUUGCUUACCUUUUAAAUAAAUAUACUUUGAUAAAGGUCCUCUGCAAAGGAAAAUAAACUAGGUUUAUGCCUGCCCUCUCCCCUCCCUUCUUUUUUUUUCUUUUUGGUCUAUAAAGGAUGCCUGAAAAAGUGUUUGAAAAAAGUUUUGUUUUGUGUUUUCCUUUUGUUUUUUCACACUAGAAAUUCAGAUCCCGUCUAGGCUGCAGGAUUCUAUGAUGGCAGGAGAAGUAGUGAAAUAAUGUAAGCCAAAUCAAUUACUGAGUUUCCAUCACAUUACACAACCGAAGAGAACACCUGUCCUUUUAUUUAUAUCCUAGUCUCUUCUGAGUUCCUGUCUCUGCUGUUUUCUGUAUGCUUCUCACAGUAACUGCUUUCUGUUUCAUGCCAUUAAUUCUGACUGCAUCUCAUUCCAACAUUUCCUGAUUUAACCUAAAAUCUCUGUUUAUGACCCUUGAUCCCUUUGAGAUGACUGAUGGAGCAGCGAUCACCAAAGGAGAUACGCUGUUAGAUGGGUUGAUCAGUGCACAGAGCAAACAAGAGAUCCUGUUCAAAAUGUAAAGUAUCACUAAUGGCAAGUUGUCUUCUCAUUUUAAAUACGGAGCAAGCAAGAGAUAGCUUAGCAUCAACUGACAUAAGCCAAAUAUUUACUGUAGGUUGGAUUGUGCCUGGCACCUACACACAUGCCCAGUGAUAGGGAAGUACAUAAAGAGCCUCUCCUUCUCUCAAAUUCCAGCUUGUGUGUUCCAUGUAAAGACAGGCAGACUUUACUCCAUUCAGGGGCUGCACCACGCUAUUCCCCUACUCCCCAUUUCCCCAGGGAAAUGUGCCAAAGGAGGUGAGAAGCAGUCAGGGAUAUGGCUUGUUCCCCGUUCCCAAUCACCUGCCAGCAGAAUUGGCCAGCCAUGUGAGAGGCAUGCAGUGGGCAUCUGACCUUCAAAGAGACUCAGUUUUGAGAAUCUGGCCCACAGUAUCAGAUUUGAACAUCUAGAACUAACACUCUCCAGUGUGCAGUGUUUGAUUAAUACCAAAACAGGAUUCUGGGGAGAUGCCUUUAUUGUUUAUCAUCUGACCUCUUCUCUGUUUGUUUGUCUCACAUGUUGUAGGAGGUGACUAUACUUGUGCAUUGUAAUGUUUUUUUUCUUAGAGAACUGUUUGUAUUUUUAUCCUUUAAAAAUAAACAAAUGAUGAAG